AGCAGCCGCGGUAAAUUCCAGCUCCAAUAGCGUAUAUUAAAGUUGUUGCAGUUAAAAAGCUCGUAGUUGAAUUUCGAGACCGGCUUACUGGUCGUGCUAUUGUACGUACUGGUAUAAUCGGUUUCUCCUUUCUGACGAACUAUAAUGCCAUUAAUUUGGUGUUUUAGGGAAUCAGGACUGUUACUUUGAGAAAAUUAGAGUGUUUAAAGCAGGCUCACGCUUGAAUACAUUAGCAUGGAAUAACGGAAUAGGACGUUUGAUUCUAUUUUGUUGGUUUCUAGGAUCGACGUACUGAUUAAUAGGGAUAGUUGGGGGCAUUAGUAUUCAAUUGUCAGAGGUGAAAUUCUUGGAUUUAUUGAAGACUAACUACUGCGAAAGCAUUUGCCAAGGAUGUUUUCAU
This 400-nucleotide ribosomal RNA is filed under the name uncultured Glomeromycotina. RNAcentral describes it as "SSU rRNA". It matches the Rfam family "Eukaryotic small subunit ribosomal RNA", at positions 569 to 973 of the family's 1831-position model. The record is from RNAcentral. Lineage: Eukaryota; Fungi; Glomeromycota.